RNAcentral lists this transfer RNA (66 nucleotides) under Loxodonta africana (African savanna elephant). It matches the Rfam family "tRNA". From Rfam's summary of the family: Transfer RNA (tRNA) molecules are approximately 80 nucleotides in length. The record is from Rfam by way of RNAcentral. Lineage: Eukaryota; Metazoa; Chordata; Mammalia; Proboscidea; Elephantidae.
GCUGGCGCAAACGGUUAAUGUGUUUGGCUGCUAACCUAAAAUUUGGUGGUUCACAUCCACCCAGCA